UCUCGGUCUCGCGAUGCCUCUCAGAUUCAAGCCAUCUCGCGUUGUGGGGCUUGUUGACCUUCACAAUCUGCUCUGAAUAUGGCUUAAGAAAUCGAUUCAACCUGAGACGAUGAUACAUGCUUAAGAGAAGAUAGAUAAUUUUGUAUAGCGGUGCAAUUGCAAUGCAGUGGUGGUGCCCGCAGUCAUGACGGUGGUGGUCGCUGUCGCCGUCAAGUCCAAGCGAAAAAGCAGCGGUGAGGAUGCGGAGAAGAUAGACAAUUUUGUAUAUAUAUAUUUUUUUUUUUGUCAAAUAAACAAUUUUGUAUUAGGUUUAGGUUAUUUUUGGGCAAUUUUCUCAAAUAGCAUUUUUAAGUUUUUGUCACAAAAAUAGCUCCAAAAUACUAAAAUAGCCUCUUUUUAAUUUUGAAAAUUUUUAUUUUUAUUUUUAUUUUUUUUAAAUUUAAAACUCUAUCCCCAAAAUUUUUCCCUUUAAUUUUAAACAUAUUUCUAGAUUAGUUAGUUGUGUUAAGAAAAAUCUAGAUUAGUUAAUCCUAUGGUAAAAAUGUACUUUUACUAUUUAAUAAAACUAUUUUUGGUCAUUUUUCUCGUUGAAAGUUAUUUCUGUGAGAAAAACUUAAAAAUGCUAUUCUAGAAUAUUUUUUUUUCUUUUAUUUGGUUUAGUUUUUUUAGUAAACCAGAUGUAAUUUGUAAACCAAUUUUAG
RNAcentral lists this long non-coding RNA (701 nucleotides) under Brassica rapa (field mustard). RNAcentral's name for it is "long non-coding RNA (BRAP_LNC006819)". The record is from RNAcentral. Lineage: Eukaryota; Viridiplantae; Streptophyta; Magnoliopsida; Brassicales; Brassicaceae.